CCCUUGUUUUGUCCUAAUUGGGAUGUAAAGAUCAACGCUUUAGAAUAAAACUUUGACAGAGAUAGUUAUGUAUAACUUUCUCAUAUGUCUUUAAGUCAACUUCUUUUAUCUUGCGACAUUGAAUUUUAAAAUCGGGGCCAAAAAGGACCCUUACCGAACUUACUCCUUUACUUGCAUUAAAGGAACAUUUCCAGAUAACUUCUCCUAUAGUUUGAAUUCUAGGAAGUUUUCACUCUGCUGGCUGUUUGUACAUAUAUUGAAGGUGUGCAUGUGGUCAGGGUUUUAAAUUUAAAUAAUUUUUGCUUUUUUGGGAGAUAAUUGAACUUUGUCAUUUUUGGGUUAUAAGCGGUUAAAUGUUAUAGUUAUUUUAAAAUAACACUUUGCAUCUGCGGGGGCAUCAAUUGUGUCUCCCAGGCACAAUUUUAUGUCAGAAAAGAAUUGACUAUGUUAUAAUACAGCUACUUUAGAGAGGAGUGCGGGGGGCAUCACUUUAUCUAGUUUACAUAUUUUUCUCAUGUUGUGCUGUUACACUACUGUAACAGUCCGUUGUUAGGUUAGAAUUUAUCGGUCACAUACAUUUUAAACACGUUCAAUUGUCGUCGUUGUAUCAUGUGUGUCAUAUUUGUUUCAUUUUUGAAGAUUUUGUUUAUUUAUAAAUUAUACCGUAAGUUUUUUCGCUUGAUUUUCUUCACAUGGUGCAUGGUUGUUUUUUUUUGUACCCGACUAUACGCUGUGUUAAAGGCCGUACCAAUGGUUGCCUAUACAUGAUUUAUCAUAUCCAAUGCAUUUAAACUCUGGUGGAUAGUUGUCUAAUUGGCAAUUACACCACAUCUAACUUCAUUUCAAUUUAUAUGUUGCGUUUUGUAUACUGUUACAUUGUUUAUCUUUGUACGCAUACCCCAGAGCCCUCUUUUUGGAAACCCGAGCAAAAGCCAUUAAUAGUCUUCGAUAGAAAAAUUAAUUACAACUUAGAUAGCUCGAAUUCAACUCGAAAUCUUAACUAAUCUACAUGAGACUUAAAUUAAAAUCUCACACAAAC
RNAcentral lists this long non-coding RNA (1039 nucleotides) under Mytilus galloprovincialis (Mediterranean mussel). Lineage: Eukaryota; Metazoa; Mollusca; Bivalvia; Mytilida; Mytilidae. The record is from RNAcentral.